This 71-nucleotide transfer RNA is filed under the name archaeon. RNAcentral's name for it is "tRNA-Gly". It matches the Rfam family "tRNA". From Rfam's summary of the family: Transfer RNA (tRNA) molecules are approximately 80 nucleotides in length. Their secondary structure includes four short double-helical elements and three loops (D, anti-codon, and T loops). Further hydrogen bonds mediate the characteristic L-shaped molecular structure. tRNAs have two regions of fundamental functional importance: the anti-codon, which is responsible for specific mRNA codon recognition, and the 3' end, to which the tRNAs corresponding amino acid is attached (by aminoacyl-tRNA synthetases). tRNAs cope with the degeneracy of the genetic code in two manners: having more than one tRNA (with a specific anti-codon) for a particular amino acid; and 'wobble' base-pairing, i.e. permitting non-standard base-pairing at the 3rd anti-codon position. The record is from RNAcentral. RNAcentral also lists the same sequence under 3 other names.
GCGACUGUAGUUAAGUGGUAUAAUUGGGCCCUGCCACGGCUCGGUCCCGGGUUCGAAUCCCGGCGGUCGCA